GAUCCUGGCUCAGAUUGAACGCUGGCGGCAGGCCUAACACAUGCAAGUCGAACGGUAACAGGAAGCAGCUUGCUGCUUUGCUGACGAGUGGCGGACGGGUGAGUAAUGUCUGGGAAACUGCCCGAUGGAGGGGGAUAACUACUGGAAACGGUAGCUAAUACCGCAUAACGUCGCAAGACCAAAGAGGGGGACCUUAGGGCCUCUUGCCAUCGGAUGUGCCCAGAUGGGAUUAGCUAGUAGGUGGGG
This 246-nucleotide ribosomal RNA is filed under the name uncultured bacterium. RNAcentral's name for it is "partial 16S ribosomal RNA". It matches the Rfam family "Bacterial small subunit ribosomal RNA", at positions 15 to 257 of the family's 1533-position model. The record is from RNAcentral.